AAAGUACUCCCUCCGUCCCAAAAUUCUUGUCUUAGAUUUGUCUAGAUACGGAUGUAUCAAGUCACAUUUUAGUAUUAGAUACAUCCAUAUCUAGACAAAUCUAAGACAAGAAAUUUGGGACAGAGGGAGUAGUUG
Molecule: non-coding RNA, 135 nt
Organism: Triticum aestivum (bread wheat)
Lineage: Eukaryota; Viridiplantae; Streptophyta; Magnoliopsida; Poales; Poaceae
Source: Rfam